GACGAACGCUGGCGGCGUGCCUAAUACAUGCAAGUAGAACGCACAGUUUAUACCGUAGCUUGCUUCACCAUAGACUCGGAGUUGCGAACGGCUCAGUAACGCGUAGCUAAUCUGCCUGGUAGCGGGGGAUAACAACUGGAAACGAUAGCUAAUAUCGCAUAAUCUUGAUUAUUGCAUGAUAAUUGAUUGAAAGACGCUAUUGCAUCACUACCAGAUGGACCUGCGUUGUAUUAGCUAGUAUGUGAGGUUACGGCUCCACCAGGGGACGAAACAUAGCCGACCUGGGAAGGGGGACGGCCACCCUGGGAAUGAGAAACGGCCCCGACCCCUUCGGGGAGCAACAAGAAGGGAUCUUCGGCAAUGGACGAAAGGCUGGACGAGGAACGCCGGGUGGGGGGAGAAGGGUUUCGGAUCGGAAAGCCCUGUUGUAAGGGGAGAACGGGUGUGAGAGUGGAAAGUGCACACUGUGACGGUACCUUACCAGAAAGGGACGGCUAACUACGUG
Molecule: ribosomal RNA, 505 nt
Filed under: uncultured bacterium
Lineage: Bacteria
Description: partial 16S ribosomal RNA
Rfam family: Bacterial small subunit ribosomal RNA
Source: RNAcentral